This 2616-nucleotide long non-coding RNA is filed under the name Solanum tuberosum (potato). RNAcentral describes it as "long non-coding RNA (STUB_LNC011665)". The record is from RNAcentral. Lineage: Eukaryota; Viridiplantae; Streptophyta; Magnoliopsida; Solanales; Solanaceae.
ACAAAAAAAAAUUAUAUAUAUAUUUAUAUUAUUUCAAUUUCAUAUCAAUAGCAAAACAACCAAUAUCAUUACAGAGAACACAACAAAAUACACCACAUCUCGAAUAUUUUAAACAGUUCUACCACUAAAAAGCCAGUUAAAUAUACUCGUACUACACAAUAUGAUAUUGUAUAUUUUAUGCACUUACAUAAAAUUUAAAAAGCAACAGAUGUAGUGUCUUCGCAUUCCUCCUUAAUCACGUCAUUUGUGAUUGUUUAACAUAAUUGUCCCUAUUAUUAAGAAAAAACAUAGAAUCAUUCUCGUAAUCUAUAAUGAGAAUAGAAUAAGGGGUGACCACGAUAAUAUUUGAAUAGAAUAAUCCAAAAAACUUUUAAGAAAGUAAAUGGAUCAUUCGUCAGCACUCUACAUGACCUUAUCUUCCACAUAGAAAGAAACUCAUACAAAUAUAAAUUGCGUAAAAUGAUAAGAGUAUACCGUUUUAGCUUAUAAAAGAACAUCAUAUAAGUGACUAAGUGGGCGACAACAACAAUAAUGUUGUCUCAGAUAGAGAAGAACACACUUAGAUUUACUUAAGCUCCCUUUAAGUUAGUGAGUUAAUAAAGAGCUCAAAGAAAAUUAGUAUGAAAUAGUAUUUCAUUAUUUUUUUAAAAGUCACAGAGCAAAACAACAACAAUUAUAAAGUUGUAUAAACUGCAUAAAAAUAGAUAUAGUUCUUCACAAACUUAAAAGUUUUGUUACGCAAGGACACAAAUAAGAAUUCUUUUGAAUCUUGUGGUGAUGAACUAAAUAUGUGUAAUGUACUAAAAUUCCUUUUGAAUUUCAUGGUCUUAAAUAUACCGUGUACGAUAUUAGGUGUAAAGAAUGACUGAAUGAAGAAAGGCAUUAUUUUUUAAACAGAUCUAAGCAAGAUAAACAAAUUGACAUGGAGGGAGUCUUAUUUAUUGUCCACCUAUCUAUAGAUACCACCAUAGCACAAAUAGGUAGUAUUUAUAGUCCAACUAGUUAUGUAGAUACCACCAUAAGACACUCUUUCAAACUUACAUUCUGCAAUUCAUGAUACAAAGAAUUUGUCCAAACAGAGCGGAAAAGUGUUACUGGAACAAGAAAUUAAACUUCCUACAUGUUGCACUUCAUUAAGGUAAUUGCGAGCAUGAUCAAAUGCAGCAGGGCAUGAAACUACAACAAUUAUAAAGUUGUAUAACCUGCGUACAAAAGAUGUAGUUCUUCGCAACCAUAAAAGUUUUGUUAUGCAAGGAAACAUAUCUCACAUUAUUUUCCUUAUUAUAAUAUCUACUUAACAUAUAGUAUUUUAAAUAAUCUCAACAAACUUCUAUUUUAGAGAGAUAUACAAGAAUGUAUCACUAUACUCCUACAACUACCUAAUUCAACAAAUGGAGCUAUCUAGCCAGAUUUAAAAGUAGAAAGUGUAGUUUCAAUUAUCAAAAUUAUAAGUGAAGCAUGGGACUUGAAAUGAAAAAAUAGCAUGUUCCCAAUUAAUUCAUUAGUCUAUAAGUAUAUCACAAAAAAAGGAAAGAUAGGAUACAAAACAAUCUAGCCAAAGAGAAAUAACACAAUAAAAGGAAGGCAGCAUCUCACACAGAAACAAUUUGCGAAUUGACAACUAGUUUUAAAACUCCCUAGAUUCUCAAAAAUUGAAAUGAUAGUGUUUGAUAGUGUAAUACUAACUGGACUGAAAGAACCAAAAAGUUGCAUACCACAACUCAAAAGAGCUCCUGCAAUAGCUAAACAAAAGAAUCAACCAAGUAGUUGUCCAAUUCCACUGAAAUCAUAAGAUAAAAUUAAUAUAACUCAUAGAGUUAAAGCAAAUAGACUAAAAUUGUGUAUUAUAUUAAAUAGGUAUAUCAAACUUUCUAAACAUUUUUGUACAAGUGCUUAGUUGUAAAAAACUUUUUUUUAUCAAAAUUUCACCUUUCACUGCCCUCAAUACAUAAAACUAUCCAAAAUUUCAAACUUUCACUGCUUUUAAUUGUUUAUUCUUUUUCUAGUACUCUCUCAUUUUCAUUCAUAGACCUCAAAUCUUAGUAUCAAACAAUUUUUUUAAAUAGUAUAUCUUCAAUAAAUCUCACCCUACUUGUAUUGCUAAUUAAUGGUCUCUAACCACAAAAGUCUAUUUCCAAAUAAUUGGACUUGGUGCUAAAAUAAUAUCUAACUUAAGGUGAUUCUUAUGCUUUGAAUAUAAGGAAAUUAGGUUCAUUUACGUACAGAGCCAACAAUAAAUUUCACCUUCAAUGUUACUCUCUGUUUGAUUUAAGAACUUCAAAUAUAGAGACUAAUAAUCGAAAUCACAUGUUCAACCAACAAAAAUCAAGUUUUGAACUAGUCUCAAUUCAUUUAUGGCUUGUAUAGAUGAAAAAAGACAGAACUUACAUGAAGACGAGGAAGACAAAUGAGUAGUGGCAAUCGAUGGCAACAAGCGUGAUGCCAACAGUGGACGCUCCAGGCAACCUUUCGAUCACUCUCGCGUCUCAACUCUUAAUCUCAAUCUCAAUCUCUCUCGCUUCUCAACUCUCAAUCUCUCAGCAGAACCUUUAAUUAAAAACCCUAGACCCCCAAUAAACAAAUACAAUGUUUAAGUUAUAAAUUAAUGAAUGGUUC